GGAGGGUGACGCGCUAAGGAGCGCAACUAGUCUCGAAAACUAGGACGUACACCGAAAGGUGCGGGGUUCGACUCCUCCGCCCUCCGCCA
This 89-nucleotide transfer RNA is filed under the name Sphingomonas sp. RNAcentral describes it as "tRNA-Ser". Lineage: Bacteria; Pseudomonadati; Pseudomonadota; Alphaproteobacteria; Sphingomonadales; Sphingomonadaceae. RNAcentral also lists the same sequence under 1 other name. The record is from RNAcentral.